This 444-nucleotide ribosomal RNA is filed under the name uncultured bacterium. Its description in RNAcentral is "SSU rRNA". It matches the Rfam family "Bacterial small subunit ribosomal RNA", at positions 26 to 518 of the family's 1533-position model. The record is from RNAcentral.
AGAGCGAACGCUGGCGGCAGGCCUAACACAUGCAAGUCGAGCGCCCCGCAAGGGGAGCGGCAGACGGGAGAGUAACACGUGGGAACGUACCCUUCAGUUCGGAACAACCCAGGGAAACUUGGGCUAAUACCGAAUACGUCCGUAAGGAGAAAGAUUUAUCGCUGAAGGAUCGGCCCGCGUCUGAUUAGCUUGUUGGUGAGGUAACGGCUCACCAAGGCGACGAUCAGUAGCUGGUCUGAGAGGAUGAUCAGCCUCACUGGGACUGAGACACGGCCCAGACUCCUACGGGAGGCAGCAGUGGGGAAUAUUGGACAAUGGGCGCAAGCCUGAUCCAGCCAUGCCGCGUGAGUGAGGAAGGCCUUAGGGUUGUAAAGCUCUUUCGCCCGCGACGAUGAUGACGGUAGCGGGAGAAGAAGCCCCGGCUAACUUCGUGCCAGCAGCCGC